GUGAAAACACUAGACUCAGUCGCAUGCCUCCCCAGCCCAGCUCCUCAGGCUUGGAGUUGACCUUCUCCCGCCUUCAGCCUCAGCUCGGUUUCUCACAAGGCGAAGUGUAGGACUGCCAGCGACCGACCAGCAGCCAGGCCUCAGCAGUCGCCAUUAAAGGAAAGGAAAAGCUGGCUCUGAGGCACGUCCCCACUAAUGCCUGAUGGUUCCCUGAAGUGCCAAGUUCCGGGGGCAGCAGGGAUGCAAGAUUAUGUGAAAAGACCCUCCCCAAUCAGCAGUUUGAGUCAAGGGCGGAAGCGUUUUUUAACACAGGCCAGACUGGGUCGUUAAGAGCGAAAUGAAUCUGGGUUUAGAGGCGCGGGGGGCGCUUUAUGGCGGCGUCUAGACGAGGAUCUUUUGUUCCUGGGCAGCGCUGCGGCUGGAGGGGAUUACCCCAAGAGGUCGUGUCCAGAGUGCCCCUGGCCCGCAAGGGGGGUUGGACAUUCAGAAGUAUGAAGAGAAGAAGCUACCGCCAGAAUCCUGACCCUGCCAGUGGAGAAGAGCUCCAGCAUGGGCCUGCCUUGCCUCUGCAUGCUUGUGCUCACCCGUGGGGGUCUCUGGCUUUUUAACUCCCCCUCUUCCUCUUCCUCCUUGCCUUCUGCACCACCACCUCCUCCUCCUCCUCCUCCUUAGACUUGGGAGGAUGGAGGGUUUUAAGAGGAGAGGGGUUAAUAAAAAGGUCAAAUAAAAUCAUAAUAUUGAAUAGAAUGAAAUAUCUUUAUUUGCCAACAAAAAAAAAAUAACAGCAACCCCUCUGGGUGGGGAGCAGGUUGGGGAUUGCACAUGUACACACGCACUC
This is a long non-coding RNA of Sciurus carolinensis (gray squirrel), 838 nucleotides long. RefSeq lists it as uncharacterized. The transcript has 4 exons. Lineage: Eukaryota; Metazoa; Chordata; Mammalia; Rodentia; Sciuridae. The record is from RefSeq and is a predicted model, not a curated record.